Molecule: transfer RNA, 73 nt
Filed under: Rhodobacter viridis
Lineage: Bacteria; Pseudomonadati; Pseudomonadota; Alphaproteobacteria; Rhodobacterales
Description: tRNA-Thr
Rfam family: tRNA
About the family: Transfer RNA (tRNA) molecules are approximately 80 nucleotides in length. Their secondary structure includes four short double-helical elements and three loops (D, anti-codon, and T loops).
Source: RNAcentral
GCCCUCAUAGCUCAGCUGGUAGAGCAAGAAAUUUGUAAUUUCGAGGUCGGGAGUUCAAGUCUCUCUGGGGGCA